CGUAGGUGGCAAGCGUUGUCCGGAUUUAUUGGGUUUAAAGGGUGCGUAGGCGGCCCUGUAAGUCAGUGCUGAAAUAUCCCGGCUUAACCGGGAGGGUGGCAUUGAUACUGCAGGGCUUGAGUACAGAUGAAGUAGGCGGAAUUGACGGUGUAGCGGUGAAAUGCAUAGAUAUCGUCAAGAACACCGAUAGCGAAGGCAGCUUACUAAGCUGUAACUGACGCUGAGGCACGAAAGUGUGGGGAUCAAACAGGAUUAGAUACCCUGGUAGUCCGCACUGUAAACGUUGAUGACUCGAUGUUGGCGAUACACAGCCAGCGUCCAAGAGCAAUCGUUAAGUCAUCCACCUGGGGAGUACGCCGGCAACGGUG
This 368-nucleotide ribosomal RNA is filed under the name uncultured organism. RNAcentral's name for it is "bacterial SSU rRNA". It matches the Rfam family "Bacterial small subunit ribosomal RNA", at positions 526 to 896 of the family's 1533-position model. The record is from RNAcentral.